AUCAGGAUGGCCUAGUGGUAUAAGGUGCCAGACUCAAAGUGGCCAUGGGGAUUCUGGUCUCCAUAUGGAGAUGUGGGUUCAAAUGCCACUUCUGGAA
Molecule: transfer RNA, 97 nt
Filed under: Heterocephalus glaber (naked mole-rat)
Lineage: Eukaryota; Metazoa; Chordata; Mammalia; Rodentia; Bathyergidae
Rfam family: tRNA
About the family: Transfer RNA (tRNA) molecules are approximately 80 nucleotides in length. Their secondary structure includes four short double-helical elements and three loops (D, anti-codon, and T loops). Further hydrogen bonds mediate the characteristic L-shaped molecular structure. tRNAs have two regions of fundamental functional importance: the anti-codon, which is responsible for specific mRNA codon recognition, and the 3' end, to which the tRNAs corresponding amino acid is attached (by aminoacyl-tRNA synthetases). tRNAs cope with the degeneracy of the genetic code in two manners: having more than one tRNA (with a specific anti-codon) for a particular amino acid; and 'wobble' base-pairing, i.e. permitting non-standard base-pairing at the 3rd anti-codon position.
Source: Rfam by way of RNAcentral